RNAcentral lists this ribosomal RNA (431 nucleotides) under uncultured bacterium. Its description in RNAcentral is "partial 16S ribosomal RNA". It matches the Rfam family "Bacterial small subunit ribosomal RNA", at positions 29 to 505 of the family's 1533-position model. The record is from RNAcentral.
AACGAACGCUGGCGGCAGGCCUAACACAUGCAAGUCGAGCGCGCCCUUCGGGGUGAGCGGCGGACGGGUGAGUAACGCGUGGGAACGUGCCCUUCUCUGCGGAAUAGCCUCGGGAAACUGAGAGUAAUACCGCAUACGCCCUUUGGGGGAAAGAUUCAUCGGAGAAGGAUCGGCCCGCGUUGGAUUAGGUAGUUGGUGGGGUAAUGGCCCACCAAGCCGACGAUCCAUAGCUGGUUUGAGAGGAUGAUCAGCCACACUGGGACUGAGACACGGCCCAGACUCCUACGGGAGGCAGCAGUGGGGAAUCUUAGACAAUGGGGGCAACCCUGAUCUAGCCAUGCCGCGUGAGUGAUGAAGGCCUUAGGGUUGUAAAGCUCUUUCAGCUGGGAAGAUAAUGACGGUACCAGCAGAAGAAGCCCCGGCUAACUCCG